Molecule: long non-coding RNA, 853 nt
Organism: Lagopus muta (rock ptarmigan)
Lineage: Eukaryota; Metazoa; Chordata; Aves; Galliformes; Phasianidae
Exons: 4
Source: RefSeq, a predicted model, not a curated record
CAGGGCUGUUUCCCUCCAUCCAUCUAAAGCAGAUCACAAACUAAUUUAGGUCAGAAAGGGACUUCUGGAGGCCUCUCGCCCCACUUCCAUGUUAAAGCUGGGCCAGUUUCGAGAUUUAGAUCAGAGUGCUGCAGUCCUCGUCCCAUCCACUUCUGAAAACCUCCACAAUGGAGAAGUCACAGGCUCUUUGGGACAAGUUCCAGUCAUGCCCUACUGCUGUAAGAACUCCAUAAAGAGAGCAUCGCACAGCAAGGCAGUGGAGAAGUCGGCUCCAAAAUCAAGAGGUGCCAAUUGAACAGCAGCUUUUGAGAAGCCCUGGAGAUCCAUUGACCUCAGUGUGGGUGCCUGUGUGUCAUCCGCAGCCCAAGGAAACUGCAGAAGUCUGGAGAACCUGUGCACUCGAAGUCCCAUGAGAGAAAAGGAUGGGGCAGCCUCCUGGGGUAAGGGCCCCAUCUUCAGUAAGGGCCCCACAACUGGUGGGAAGCACUCAGCUGCUCUCCUCCUGCUUCAUCACAGCAAUAGGAGCACAACCCUGGUGUCCCAGCACACAUCUCCUUUGCAGAGCUCAGUGAGGCAGUGGUGGGAGCUCGUCUUGUGGCAAGACAUCUCAGGGGAAUACAGUGGUGUCAUGCUCCCAGGCUGCCAGCUCCAUAAUGAAACCACUUUUCAGGUGGUUGAAAACUCUCUGAGUGAGGAUCCUUCAACAAGAGGGGUAAGCCAGUGCACAUAUUGGCACUGGUAGCACUCUGGUGCUGAUGGUACCAGCCAUUGUCAUGAUGUGUGUCUCUAGGGAUGGAUGUCAUGCUCCAGACCAACUGGAAUCUACACCAUGCACCUAAAAUAGCUAGUUUUG